UACGUAGGGCGCAAGCGUUGUCCGGAAUUAUUGGGCGUAAAGAGCUCGUAGGCGGCUUGUCACGUCGGGUGUGAAAGCCCGGGGCUUAACCCCGGGUCUGCAUUCGAUACGGGCUAGCUAGAGUGUGGUAGGGGAGAUCGGAAUUCCUGGUGUAGCGGUGAAAUGCGCAGAUAUCAGGAGGAACACCGGUGGCGAAGGCGGGUCUCUGGACCGAUUACUGACGCUGAGGCGCGAAAGCUAGGGGAGCAAACGGG
RNAcentral lists this ribosomal RNA (254 nucleotides) under uncultured bacterium. RNAcentral describes it as "partial 16S ribosomal RNA". It matches the Rfam family "Bacterial small subunit ribosomal RNA", at positions 524 to 776 of the family's 1533-position model. The record is from RNAcentral.